RNAcentral lists this ribosomal RNA (270 nucleotides) under Klebsiella pneumoniae subsp. pneumoniae KPNIH6. RNAcentral's name for it is "partial 16S ribosomal RNA". It matches the Rfam family "Bacterial small subunit ribosomal RNA", at positions 1276 to 1533 of the family's 1533-position model. The record is from RNAcentral. Lineage: Bacteria; Pseudomonadati; Pseudomonadota; Gammaproteobacteria; Enterobacterales; Enterobacteriaceae.
UUAAAGUAUGUCGUAGUCCGGGAUUGGAGUCUGCAACUCGACUCCAUUGAAGUCGGAAUCGCUAGUAAUCGUAGAUCAGAAUGCUACGGUGAAUACGUUCCCGGGCCUUGUACACACCGCCCGUCACACCAUGGGAGUGGGUUGCAAAAGAAGUAGGUAGCUUAACCUUCGGGAGGGCGCUUACCACUUUGUGAUUCAUGACUGGGGUGAAGUCGUAACAAGGUAACCGUAGGGGAACCUGCGGUUGGAUCACCUCCUUACCUUAAAGAA